CUGGGAAAUAGCUCGUACUCCCCGAAAUGUUUUUAGGAACAGCGUCGGCAUGGAGUCUUAUAGAGGUAGAGCUACCGAUUGGGUGCGGGGGAGUCAAAUCCUACCAAAUCCAGACGAACUCCGAAUGCUAUCAAAUAUAGCCGGCAGUGAGGCUUUGGGUGCUAAGGUCCAAGGCCGAGAGGGAAAGAACCCAGACCAUCAGCUAAGGUCCCCAAAUUCGUUCUAAGUUGAACUAACGAGGUCCGGUUGCCCAGACAGCUAGGAUGUUGGCUUGGAAGCAGCCAUUCAUUUAAAGAGUGCGUAACAGCUCACUAGUCGAGCGGCCGGGC
This is a non-coding RNA of Spinacia oleracea (spinach), 329 nucleotides long. The record is from Rfam. NCBI's taxonomy places the organism in Eukaryota, Viridiplantae, Streptophyta, Magnoliopsida, Caryophyllales, Amaranthaceae.